GCGCCCGUAGCUCAGCUGGAUAGAGCAGCGGACUUCUAAUCCGCAGGUCGCUGGUUCGAGCCCAGCCGGGCGUG
This 74-nucleotide transfer RNA is filed under the name Myxococcales bacterium. RNAcentral's name for it is "tRNA-Arg". It matches the Rfam family "tRNA". From Rfam's summary of the family: Transfer RNA (tRNA) molecules are approximately 80 nucleotides in length. Their secondary structure includes four short double-helical elements and three loops (D, anti-codon, and T loops). Lineage: Bacteria; Pseudomonadati; Myxococcota; Myxococcia; Myxococcales. The record is from RNAcentral. RNAcentral also lists the same sequence under 1 other name.